AUACGUAGGUGGCGAGCGUUGUCCGGAAUUACUGGGUGUAAAGGGCGUGUAGGCGGGGAAGCAAGUCAGAUGUGAAAUUCCGGGGCUCAACCUCGGCGUUGCAUCUGAAACUGUUUUUCUUGAGUGCUGGAGAGGAAAGCGGAAUUCCUAGUGUAGCGGUGAAAUGCGUAGAUAUUAGGAGGAACACCAGUGGCGAAGGCGGCUUUCUGGACAGUAACUGACGCUGAGGCGCGAAAGCGUGGGGAGCAAACAGGAUUAGAUACCCUGGUAGUCCACGCCGUAAACGAUGGAUACUAGGUGUAGGAGGUAUCGACCCCUUCUGUGCCGGAGUUAACACAAUAAGUAUCCCACCUGGGGAGUACGGCCGCAAGGUUGAA
This 377-nucleotide ribosomal RNA is filed under the name uncultured bacterium. Its description in RNAcentral is "bacterial SSU rRNA". It matches the Rfam family "Bacterial small subunit ribosomal RNA", at positions 523 to 898 of the family's 1533-position model. The record is from RNAcentral.